Long non-coding RNA from Mirounga angustirostris (Northern elephant seal), 2666 nucleotides. RefSeq lists it as uncharacterized. NCBI's taxonomy places the organism in Eukaryota, Metazoa, Chordata, Mammalia, Carnivora, Phocidae. The record is from RefSeq and is a predicted model, not a curated record. The transcript has 3 exons.
AAUUAAGCAUUAUCUAACAACCCAGACAUCUGUUGGUAAUCAUUUCUGUGUAUUUUCUUGUAGCAUUUUUUCUGUGCCCCAUUUAAUACUUUUUCAUUUUUUUUUUUUAUUUAUUUGAGAGAGAAUGAGAGACAGAGAGCAUGAGAGGGAAGAGGGUCAGAGGGAGAAGCAGACUCCAUGCCAAGCAGGGAGCCCGAUGCAGGACUCGAUCCCGGGACUCCAGGAUCAUGACCUGAGCCGAAGGCAGUCGCUUAACCAACUGAGCCACCCAGGCGCCCCAAUACUUUUUCAUAUUUAAUUCAGGCUGCAGGGGGAAGGACUCGAGGAGUCCUGGAGGAGGACUGUUCCAGGCUAGUCAUCAUGCAGAACUUGCUUGCCUGAGUUCAGUGAAAGGGGACUCACAGUCCAUGUGGCCUCUCAUUCCACCUGAGGACAGCAGCAACCAUGUGGAUGUUCUUCCUGCUGCAGAGCUGAACCUGCCCCUUCAUAGUUCCCUCCACCAGGCCCGUUCUGCUCCCUGGAGGGUCACGGGCAGCCCCUUACCUGCUUAAGAUACCCAAGAGGAAUGGAAAGUGAGCAUGUGGUGGAGAUGGGCCUUCCUGGAAGGGGUACUGGUGUCGGAUUUGACUCUCCACUGCAGAGGGCCCCUUUCUAGGGAGAUGGAGCAUGCUGGUGACCAGCGGAGACCACGGAUGAGGCUCAGCGGACUGACUCACCACCCAUCGGGCAUCUGUGCUGUGAGCUCCCGACCCACCCUUGUGCUCGUCCCCUCUUCCCCUCAUCCCAGUCCACUUGCCGAAGUGACAAUCCUAAAUUCCAGAUUCGCUUAUACCACUCUCUUUCUAUCAUAAAGUGCUUCCUGAUACCAGAUCUCUGUCCCUGGGUCACAUCACACGGAUGUCCUGGGGAUAUUACCCUGAAAUGGCUGAUUUUCUCUUACUUGUUCAGUCGCAGAGGUUCCUGUUCUGGGCGUGAGCAGUCUUUCUGGGCAGCUGCCCGCGCCUCUCAUCGGGACAGUUGCUUGGGCGGCUCGCACGCAGUCUCUUGGAACAUGGAUUGCUCCCCACCAGCACCACCUGCUGCCCUGAUUCCCGGAGGCCCUCCUCCCUUUCCACCUGGCCCCCUCGCUGCCCCCUAGUUGACACGCUUCGGGGUUUGCCGCUGGCCCAGAACUGGGAGGGGCUGUGCUGGCACGGGGUGAUGGGUGAUCUGCAAAGAGCCUUGGGGGAGGGGCCUGGCUUUGAAGCUGGCACCGAGGCGUGUCCGUGCUGGUAGUGCCUGGCCCUGGGCAGUGGGAAGACGGAGGCGUCUUUGCAGAUCCAGCGCUCCUUUCCCGGGAGGCCCACCUGCGCAGGGGCUGGUGGCCGGAGUACUUUUACUCUGGACUACCUGGUGCUUCCUUCCCCCGGGGGCUCCACACCCUUUAACUGGGUCUGGCAAAGGAAGGCCCGGGCCUGUGGCCACAUCCGCCUGCGCUCCUGACCGCCACUCAGCACCAGUCACUCACGCAGAUACCCCAGGCGAUGAGAGGCUGGUCAUCAGGGGCAGAGGCGGUAAAGGGAGAAGAGCCGGGCAAGGAGCCCAGUGGUGCAGGGGCCAGAGGUGGAGCCCAGAAGGCACCAGGUGCACGCCGGUUUCCCCCAAAGUCAUCCUCUGUACUGGGGCGAUAGGCGGCUGCUUGACACCGACCAGGCUGGCUCUCCUGAGUCAGCCUCCUGCGGGCCCUGCAACUGAAGGUGACAAGUUCAUGCUUUGACUGUGGUGGUGACAGGCUAACGGCCUCCCUGCCACCCCUCAGGCAGUCCAGGGCCCAGCCUCUGACUGCUCGUUCUCUGCCCGUCAGUCCCUUUUGUUCAUAAGGGCCUGGCCUAAAUGUUUCUCACUGUUCAUAUUCAAAGCUUUAUUAAAGAUAAGUAGGUCCGGGGCGCCUGGGUGGCUCAGUCGUUAAGCGUCUGCCUUCGGCUCAGGUCAUGAUCCUGGAGUCCCGGGAUCGAGUCCCGCAUCAGGCUCCCUGCUCAGCAGGGAGUCUGCUUCUCCCUCUGGACCCUCCUCCCUCUCAUGCUCUCUCUCAUUCUCUCUGUCUCAAAUAAAAAAAUAAAAUAUUUAAAAAAAAAAAAAAAGAUAAGUAGGUCCGUGUAAGGAAAAAGAUGUCCUCAGGUCAACAAUGAACCGGGAGAAAAAAAAAAAAAUCGUAUAAUUUACCCAAAGUUCCUGGGUACUCUUCAGCCCCCGUAGGGACUCACAGACACCUUCUUGGGCUGGUCCUUCACCUGCGUGCUGAGCUCCGCCAGCCCCAAUCCUGAUCCGUUGGGCUGACCCUCUGGCUUUGGCCCCAGACACCCUGGUGGUGACAGUAAUGAGAAGGCAGGCCCAGGCCCCCAGCUACCCUGCCCUGGGUGCUGGGGACACUUGGUAGGUUUACCUGAAUUAACCAUGAUUAGUCUUAGUUUCCUCGUUUAUAAAAUGGGAUUAAUAAUAUCUAUCGCUUCAGGGCACCUGGGUGGCUCAGUCGUUAAAAGCGUCUGCCUUCGGCUCAGGUCAUGAUCCCGGGGUCCUGGGAUUGAGCCCCACAUCGGGCUCCCUGCUCGGCGGGAAGCCUGGCUCUCCCUCUCCCACUCCCCCUGCUUGUGUUCCCUCUCUCGCUGUGUCUCUGUCAAAUAAAUAAA